AGAAUCAACGCUGGCGGCGUGCCUCAGACAUGCAAGUCGAACGAUUAAAGCUCUCUUCGGAGAGUGUAUAGAGUGGCGCACGGGUGAGUAACACGUAAGUAACCUACCUUUGAGUGGGGAAUAACAAUCGGAAACGAUUGCUAAUACCGCAUAAUGCAGCGGCAUCGCAAGAUGACAGUUGUUAAAGGAGCAAUCCGCUUAAAGAGGAGCUUGCGGCAGAUUAGCUAGUUGGUAAGGUAAUGGCUUACCAAGGCUACGAU
RNAcentral lists this ribosomal RNA (260 nucleotides) under uncultured soil bacterium. RNAcentral's name for it is "partial 16S ribosomal RNA". It matches the Rfam family "Bacterial small subunit ribosomal RNA", at positions 26 to 280 of the family's 1533-position model. The record is from RNAcentral.